RNAcentral lists this ribosomal RNA (458 nucleotides) under uncultured bacterium. RNAcentral's name for it is "partial 16S ribosomal RNA". It matches the Rfam family "Bacterial small subunit ribosomal RNA", at positions 338 to 795 of the family's 1533-position model. The record is from RNAcentral.
CCUACGGGGUGCAGCAGUGAGGAAUAUUGGUCAAUGGGCGAGAGCCUGAACCAGCCAAGUCGCGUGAGGGAGUACUGCCCUAUGGGUUGUAAACCUCUUUUGUCGGGGAGCAAAAGCCGGACGUGUCCGGCUGUGAGAGUACCCGAAGAAAAAGCAUCGGCUAACUCCGUUCCAGCAGCCGCGGUAAUACGGAGGAUGCGAGCGUUAUCCGGAUUUAUUGGGUUUAAAGGGUGCGCAGGCGGAUUUUUAAGUCAGCGGUAAAAUCGUGGGGCUCAACCCCAUCCAGCCGUUGAAACUGGGGAUCUAGAGAGUGCGAGAGGUAUGCGGAAUGCGUGGUGUAGCGGUGAAAUGCAUAGAUAUCACGCAGAACCCCGAUUGCGAAGGCAGCAUACCGGUGCACAACUGACGCUCAGGCACGAAAGCGUGGGUAUCGAACAGGAUUAGAUACCCCUGUAGUC